This 10473-nucleotide long non-coding RNA is filed under the name Triticum aestivum (bread wheat). RNAcentral's name for it is "long non-coding RNA (TAES_LNC014759)". Lineage: Eukaryota; Viridiplantae; Streptophyta; Magnoliopsida; Poales; Poaceae. The record is from RNAcentral.
UCUCACUCACACACACCUUCACAUGCUCACAUGUUUGUCUUGCCUGAUGCCCCGAUCCCCUUUCUUCUUCCCUUCUUCCAGCCGCUCACUCCAAAAUUGCUGCCAUCGGACGAGCCGUCCCAAUAGUUUGCCCUCUUGAUUUGUUGCCUUGAGCCUGCUCCUCCUCAGCUGUAGGCAUCCCCGCAGCUGAACUCGUUGUCCACAGGCCACAGGGGUGACUGUGUACGGCGGCUUGUCUCCUGGGACGGUAAACAGCGACGGAUGUGUAGCAGGGUCCGAGGAGCAUCUGCGCAAGGGAGGAGGCAAGAUCGUCGAUCUGCACGGUGUCAUUUCCCUGGGCGUCCGUGUGGGUGAUGUGGGCGUGGAUCUCGUCUCUCGCAGCCAGCAUGGAUCCAGCUUCACUAUGAGGAUGCUAGCGACCUUGUCUUCCCCAAGCGCGCAGGCCAUACGCAUCGUCGUUGUUCCCACUCGAGGCAGCCCAACACAUCAUCACCAUCGUCCACAGCGUCAGUAUUCUUCGACCUGCAGGUCCCUCUUUUUUUCUUUUCAUGUCUAACAUUUUUUGCUUAACCUUUCCUCAGUGUGUAUGAUUGUAUACCAAUAUCAUGUAAUUGAGGUACUAUUUGUUAGUGAAUAAUCUUAAUUUUCUUCUCUACCCUCAACUUUUUUCUGGGCUUUGCUGACUGGCAUAGGUAGUGUUAUCUGGUGUACCUCCGUUCAUAUUCAACAAAUUUAGUAGUAUAAUCACUGUAUUGAGUUGGUAUAGUUUAGUAGUAUUCCCCAAAGACAAAUUAUUUUUAAUAAUUGAGUAGUCAAAUAGGUCUGACCGCAUUGUACAUAUACAAAAUAUAAUGAUAGACGAAUGCCCUAACUAUUGGGUUGUACUCCAUCAUAUGUCGAUAUAGAAUGUCGAUGCUUGGUAUUUAUUAACUAUUUUCGUCAUAUGGAUCUUGAUGCACAUUUCCAGUACUUCUGCAGAGUAGUAGACCAUAUCCGUGCUGCCAUACCAUGUUUACAUCUCUGAUUGUGUCAGUCCUCUCUCAAAUCUUCACUUGCCUCUUUUUUACUUGUCUUCUUGUGUCUCUCUUCUUCCUAUCAUAAAUUUAACUAUUAUUUAUGAAUUUCAUAUCUUCAAAUGUAACAGUGAUCCAUAAUACUCAAAAUCAUUGAAUAUUGUAGAUGAAAGUAUUUUAUUGUUUACAAAAAACUGCAAGCACAUAACAUACAUGCACUGGUAUGCUAGUUGUGCUAGUAAAUUAAUUGGCUUAAGAGGUGCAGAUAAACUUGCAAGCAGAGAACAUAUAUGCCCAGGUAUGCGUGAUUUGCUAGUAAAUUAAUUGGUUUCAGAGGUGCAUCUGUGACAUAGUACUACCAGACUGCCAGUGCGUCCCCAAUUGAUAAAGAAUACAAAGUCAUCAUUAGUAUGAUAAUACCUCACCAUUAGUAUCUUGGAUGGUUGACUCGUGAAUCAUCAUUUGAAUCACCGAUACAUCAUUUUCUUCCUCUUCAAACUAUGAGAUACAAUACCAUAAUUUAGAACAUCAAAUAGAACACUUGGGUUAAUCUUGAAAACAAUACUUUAUGUGAAAGUAUACACUUUUCACCUCAUUGUUGAAUUUCUUUUAUUUGAUAACUGUUUUGAGUUUCUUGUUGCUAGGACUUUUGACAUGUGUAUAAUUUUCUCCAGUCUUUAUCUGAAUCAUCUUCUACUGCGAUUACAACUAAAUUUCUAGAUUGAAUGUUGGGUACUUCCUUUUCAUAUUGAUUUCAACAAAAUACCUCCUCAUUGUGUAGUUUUUUUGCACCAACUUUUGUUUUGUUAUUUCGUAAAGAUUUUCCUUUCAAAUCCUCUUUACAUCGUUUUUGUCUCUCUUUGUGUGUUCUCUGAAAUAAUAUUUUGACCCCACCUGCAUGUUUACUUCUUUUUAUCCUCAACAGAAGUUUCUUGUUAGAUGAUGUAGAGUUUUUCUUUUCAAACACAUUUUUCUUAUCACCUUUAGUUGCAAUAUUGUAGGAACGAUUGCCUAUAAAAAACAUUUUGACAUUAUUACAAAAACAUGUUUUUAAUAUCAUUUAACGAUAGGUUAUAAAUAAUUAAUGCAUAUACAGGGAGAUAAUGUGUUGGGUGUAUUACCUCGGAUGAACUUCAAUUUCUUUAAAUUUGCUAUAUCUAGAUCAAUCUUUCUCACAUAUUUUUUUAGAUAUUUUGCUUGACCGAGAAGUUUUUUGUUAGAUGAUGUAGAUCCUUUCUUUCCAAACGUAUUCUUCUCACUUUCUCCUCCAUUCUUGGAGUGGCUCUUGCCCUGUUAAAAGGAAAUCUUGUUGGUGAUACUUUUAAUAAACUAUUUCGUACUUAUGAUAAUAGAACUGUUACUUAGUUGCAAUACCUCAUUAUCUCACUUUUGCAUAACAAAAUUUGAAGAAUCUUCAGUAACUUGGCUUUCCAGCAUCCGUCAUAAAGAACAUACUCUCAUUAUAAUUUUAUAGACCAUUUGAACAUAUUGUAUUGUGCAUGAACAUACCUCUUCAACUAUUUUGUUUAAAUAUUCGUCUCAAGCCUCUCAUCAAGUUCAAAAGUGAAGUUCACUUUGAAAUUUUCCAUGGAUACUUACAAUUUCCUUGAAUUUAACUUUAGUUAGAAUGUGUGUACUACCAUAAAGGUUUUGAAUUGAAUCCAUCGUGCUUUAGCAUGGUAUGCACAAGUGUUGCCUAAAGUCUGUUCGUAGCCUCAUUAAACAUCACAAAUGUUGUUGUUAUUGUAUCAUCGCUUACCUUGAGUUUAAGUAGGUACCGAAUGUGAUAGUGUCACUGCUUACUGGUAAUGGUACUGAAAAAAUGGCACCAAAGAUGCUCACUGUAGGACAGCGUUUUUGGCUGCUUCAUGACAUGAAUUGCAAAUAUAGUUAUGAUUUACCUUUCUUGUGCCAGAAAAGAAAAGUUUGCAUUCCAUGCACCACCAACCUUUUGUCUGUUAUAAUCUCUAAAGUUUUUGCUUUCCUUAUGCACACAAAUUCCUAACCGAAGUCAAGAGAAAACAUAUGAGAUUAGAUAAAAUAACAAAUUAGAGAAGGUAAGUAUAUUUCAUGAGCAAGGUUAUAGGCAAACCUUUGUUUUAAGAUGAACAUAUCACAGUUCUAUAAUUUAAUGUUUUUCCAUACUCCCUUACUUUGAAGGUCCUGAUUGUUAGGAAUAUGCAACUUGUAUUCCCAUGAGGCCAUAGGCCGAUAUAUAUAUAUACAUGUACAGGUGUAGAACAUAUGCAGGAAACCCCUUAUACAACGGGAUAAAUACAAAGGGGUACAUGACUUAUAUUAUAACUCUAACACCCCCCCUCAAACUCAUGGUGGAUGAACAACACUGAGUUUGGAGAGAUAAAAGCCAUGUUGUGCUCUAGUUUGGGCCUUCGUCAGGAAAUCCGCCAACUGUAACUCGGAAGGCACAUACUGAAGAGCAAUAACCUGAUCAUGCACACCAGCGCGCACAUAGAAAGCAUCAACACCAAUAUGCUUGGUGAGCUCAUGCUUCACAGGAGCGCGCGCAAUGCUAAUAGCACCUGUACUGUCAGAUAAGAGUAGAGUCGGUGUAGUGACAGAAACACCAAAAUCCUGAAGUAACCACCGUAACCAGGCCACCUCUGCCAUCAAAAGAGCCAUUGCUCGCAACUCAGCCUCGGCACUCGAACGGGAAACGGCAAUCUAUUUCUUCGUCUUCCAGGCAAUGAGAGAACCACCAAGAAAAACACAGUAAGCAGAAAGUGAACGGCGAUUUGAAGGAUCACUAGCCCACGUAGCAUCCGAAUAGGCCUGAAGUUGUAAAGAACUGGAGCGAGGAAAGAAUAGACGGUGAGAAAUCGUGCCCCGAAGAUAUCGGAGAACACGAAGGAGAUGACUAUAGUGAACCGAUGUGGGAGCAGAGACGAACUGACUCAGAAUAUGAACCGGAUAAGAGAUGUCCGGACGAGUGACAGCUAGAUAGACAAGACUGCCAACAAGAUGACGAUAACGCGUCGGGUCAGGGAGAGGAUCACCAUCAGUAGCACGAAGGUGAACAUUGAGCUCCAUAGGAGUCUCAACAAUGCGCUCGUCAGUAAGAGCAGCACGAGCAAGAAGAUCCUGGAUAUACUUUUCCUGGGAUAUAAAAAAGCCAUCAGAGGUAGAAGAGACUUCAAUCCCAAGAAAGUAGCAAAGAGGUCCAAGAUCAGACAUAAGAAACUGCUCACUAAGACGGGCCUUUACAAAGGCAAUAUACUCGGGGUCAUCCCCAGUGAUGAUCAUGUCAUCAACAUAGAGAAGAAGAAGAGUCUGACCACGAGGAGAAAGGUGAAUAAACAAUGCUGGAUCAUGAGCACUUGCUGAAAAACCAGCGGCAGUGACCACAGAGGCAAAACGCUCAAACCAGGCGCGGGGGGCUUGCUUAAGGCCAUAGAGAGAGCGACGAAGACGACAUACCAUGCCAUCAGGAACAGAAUACCCAGGUGGUGGCUGCAUGUACACCUCCUCACGCAGCUCACCAUUAAGAAAGGCAUUCUUAACAUCAAGCUGAGAUAUAGACCAAUGGCGUGCAGUAGCAACGGCAAGAAGUGUAUGAACAGUGGUCAUAUGAGCCACAGGAGCAAAAGUCUCGUCAUAAUCAUGACCAUGCUCCUGCUGAAAACCACGAGCCACAAGACGAGCUUUGUGACGCUCAAGAGAACCAUCGGAGUGAGUCUUAACCUUGUAGACCCACUUACAAGUGAUGGGACGGACUCCGGGAGGAAGAGAAACAAGAUCCCAGGUACCAGUGCGUUCAAAAGCAGCAAUCUCCUCUGCCAUCGCAAACUGCCAUUCAGGAUGAACAAAAGCCUGACGAUAAGAAGUCGGCUCAAGAAGAGCAGCACCAGUGGUGGGAAAUCCAAAGCGAUCAACAGGCGGACGAGGACGAGAACGCAAGCCAUAAGUAGGCUGAGGCUGAGAGGAGGAUGACGAUUCAUCCACAGAGGCAUCCACAGGUCGUGAACGACGAGUGUAAUGCUGAGGAAAAGAUGGAACAAUAGAAGGAGGAAUCGCCAAGGUAGAAUCGAGGGGUGGCGACGAAGAAGUCACCGGAGAUGAAGGUGUAGAAUCCGGUGACAUGCUAGGCGAGGAGACCGGAGAAGAUGGUGGCUGCAAAUCGACUAGAGGUGGAGAAGUAGAGGGAGUGGAACGAAUAGGCACAGGCUCGACGGGGGUGAUAGGUGAAUCGGGAAAAGUGAGAAAAGAGAUAUCCUCCAGUGAAAAAGUCGAGGAAGAUGGGCGUGGGUAGAAGGGACGAGACUCAUCAAAAGUCACGUCUCGAGAGAUACGCAUCCGACGACCGAUAGGAUCCCAACAACGAUAGCCCUUAUGCUCAUCACUAUAGCCUAAGAAGACACACUCAACAGACUGAGCGGUCAGUUUGGUGCGUUCGCGAGGGGUAAGAAGAACAUAGCAAACACAACCAAACAAGCGAAGCAUCGAAUAAUCGGGAGAACGAUCAAAAAGACGCUCGAAAGGAACACCACCCUGUAGAGCAGCGGAAGGCUGUAUAUUGAUAAGAUAGGUGGAGGUGGAGAUGGCCUCAGCCCAAAAAUGAGGCGGGAGAGAGGCAGUAAUCAUCAAUGCACGAGCCGUCUCAAGAAGAUGUCGAUGCUUUCGCUCAGCCACACCAUUCUGAGCAUGAGCACCAGGACAAGAGAAUUGAGAGAGAGUUCCUUGCUCAGCAAGAACACCACGCAACAUCUUAGAGAUAUACGCGCCAGCGGAGUCAGCACGAAAAACACGAAUGGGUGAAGAGAACUGAGUAUGAACCAUGGCAGCAAAACGCUUAUAAAUAGACAACACCUCACUACGAGAAGUCAUGAAAUAAAGCCAUGUGUAACGAGAGAAAUCAUCUAUGAAAAUAAUAUAGUAUUUAUGACCACCUUUCGAAGCGAAAGGAGCCGGACCCCAUAAAUCAGAAUGGACUAAAUCAAAAGGACGCUUAGACACUGACUCACUAUGUGGAUAUGGUAACUGAAUCUGCUUGCCAAGACGACAACCCUGACACUCUAAAGAGACAUCUCUUGAGACAGACCCCAGAAGACCUCGACGAACUAAAGACGACAACCGAGAACCACAUAGAUGACCAAGUCGAUGAUGCCACUGCUUGAAGGAACCAGUAACGGAGGCUACUGAAGCGGAGGAACUGGCAAUGGUGGUGGCAGCGGAAGGAACAUGAAGCCAGUCCAACUCCCAAAGACCCUGAGAAUCACGGCGGCGAGGGCCAGCCGCAACCAGAGUGUGCGUGCGACGGUCCUGGACAGAACAAGAGUUAACGUCAAGGAUGACGCGACAACCAGAAUCAGUAAGUUGACCAGCAGAAAACAGAUUCAUGGUAAGUCGAGGAACAUGAGCAACAUCAGGAACAGAAUAAGGAGUGGAAAGAUUGCCUCUACUAGCAACAGAAAGUGGAGUACCAUCAGCAGUUAAGACAUGAACAGGAGAAUCCAGCGAUCGAAGAGAGGACAAAGUGGAAGAGUGAGAAGACAUAUGAAAAGAAGCUCCAGAGUCCAGAACCCAUGGGGAUGUACCUGACUGUGUAGAGGGCGGUUGCUCAGGGCGGGAAGCAUCAGUCACAGAACCAGCAGUACCCGUCGAGGAAGAACCUGAAGCCGCGAGCAGACGCUUAAGUCUCAGAAUAUCCUGUUCAGUCAAAGCAAUGGCUGAAGCUAUCGAGGUAGAUGACGAAGUCCCUGAAGAUGAUGAUCGCGCCUUACGCGGGUGUUUCCUCUUCGUGUAGCACUGGGACUCAAUAUGACCAUCAUUGUUGCAGUAGUCGCAAUGUGGACGGGGGCGACCUGAGCCUCCAGAAGGAGUGGGCAAGAGCGGCGGAGCACUUGAGCGAGAAGGAGUCGGUGCAGCAGGGGGCAUGGAAGGAGCCCGAGUAGCGAGCACAGAGGGAACCUCCAGCAAACCAGCACCACGUAAGCGAGUCUCCUCAGCACGAAUCUCAGAAAGCGCCUCCAUGAGAGAAAUACGGCCACGAGCAAACGACUGAGCACGCCGGGGCUCAAACUCCUUACAGAGCCGAGACAGGAACUCGUAGACGCGAUGAAACUCCAAAUUGGCCUGGACAGCCUGGCAACAGGGGCAAGUACGACAACCAGCACUGCAGAGAGAAUCAAGCUGGCGCCAGAUAGCAGAACUCUAUGCAUAGAAGUCAUCAAUAGUAGAGUCACCCUGCUGAAGAGCAUGCUCCUGACGGACCACAGAAAGGUAUAGGGCAUCACCAGAGGGCUCAUAGCGCCGACAAAGACAGGUCCACAUCUCAAAGGCAGUAGGAAGACCCAGAAACUCAGAAGAAAACUGAGGCAGAACACUAGCAGUGAGAACAUCUGCAGCACGAGCAUCAUCAUCAAGCCACUGGGUGUAAACAGACAGAGCACCAUGAUACGUCUGAAGAGCCUCCUCAUAGGCCAAAACCCUCUCAUCAUAAGCACGAUCAGCAGCGUCAGCAGCAAGCUUAGCCGCAUCCUUGGCGGCCUGAUUAGCAUCCGUAGGAAGAACCAGUGGAGUCGGCGGAGUAGGGGCAACCGGAGGAACCGGGCGUGGCGGACAAUAGACCUCGCCAGAAAGAACACCCCAGAGACGGAUGCCACGCAUGUGAAUGCGCAUGAAGCCAGUAAACUCGGUGUAGUUAGUACCAUCAAAGAUCACAGGACAACGAGGAACAACAACAUAUCCCGAUGCAGCAAACUUUUUUUUUUUUGAGAUCCGAGCAGGCAAUUGAUCCUGCCGGCGGCUGGCAGCUAGAGGUGGGAUCCGGCCGGGUCAGCAGCAGCCGGGGACGCAGAAAGGCAGACGGAGGACCACACAGCUAGCGCACUCACGCGAAUAGCAAAAGGAAUCUAGCACCAGGAGGCAGGCCGAACACACCCACGGCUCCACGUGAGGCGGAGUCUACGUGCAGCGGGCGCGUCAAGCGACAGCGUCUGCGAGCAGCUCGGACGGGACGGCAGGGCUCGGGCUGGAGCUGCUGACGGGUAGAUAGCAGCAGGGGCGGACCUGCGGAUCAGACGAGACAGCGACGGCGCAAGAGAAGGAGGGCGACGGCUGCGUGGACGGUAGAUUGGAUCGAGAGCACGAGUUGCGCGUGCGAAAAAAAACCCUAAGGCUCUAAUACCAUGUUAGGAAUAUGCAACUUGUAUUCCCAUGAGGCCAUAGGCCGAUAUAUAUAUACAUGUACAGGUGUAGAACAUAUGCAGGAAACCCCUUAUACAACGGGAUAAAUACAAAGGGGUACAUGACUUAUAUUAUAACUCUUAACACUGAUUAUGUAGAUGAAACACUAUUUAAUUUUUGCUUCAGUUUCUGAAGGUUUAAAACUUAACAUACUACCUGCAAGUUAGUUGUGAGGAUAGUGUUGAUCACCUUGUGUAACAAUCUUCAAGAUCAUGAGUGCCUCUAAUCUGUAGUAGCUGGAUUUGAAUGUUUUAUUUAUGUGUACGUGAGUAUGUCGAUUAAUGGGCGGGUAGUCGUUCUACUGAUCUUGCAUGUACUGCUAGGAAAGAUGAGUGAUUAGUUACUUAAUAAUUACCUUGUUGGAUUUCAUAUUUGAUCUACCUUGUGAGUUAGCAUGUCAAAACUCUUUAGAUGAGCAUUGCCUUGAGUAUCGAAGUAACGUGGACCCAUUAUUCAAUGUUUAGUAACAAAUUCAUCAAUUUCAUAUACAAGUAUCAUGCAAAUUAUCUAAGUUUGUAUAGCUGAUACACACUGGAGGUAGUUUGAUCUCUUAUUAUGUGCACAUGGUACUUACUGGGUUGGUGUGAUCACUCGACAGAGUCGAUAACAAUCUAUUAGUGUCAACAGAGGAUAUUUGGGCGCUUGCAACUAUUGGAGGAAGAUGUCCAAGCGUCGAUCCCUGGAGGAAGACGAUGUUGAAGGUGGGUUCUGAUGUGCGGCACGUGCUAAACCUGAUUUGAUGCUAGCUUGCACGGUUGGUUUUCUUGCCAUGGCACCAUUGCUAAGCUAAUUGCCAAAGCUCAUAAAACACAACCUUGCCUUCUUGCAGUCUCACCUUUCCCCGAUUGCUCAAGAUAGCAACCGCCGCUGGUAGUCGUUCUACUCAUUUUGUAUGUACUGCUAUGAAAGAUGCAAGAUCAGUUACUGAAUAGUUACCUUUUUGGAUUGCAAAUUUGAUCCACCUUGUGAGUUAGCAUGUCAAAACUCUUUAGAUGAGCACUGCCUUGAGUAUCAAAGUACUAUUGAUCCAUUGUUCAAUGAUAUGCAACAAAUUCAUCAAUGGCAUAUACAAGAAUCAUUCAAAUUAUGUAAAUUCGUGCAGGUGAUACAUUGGAGGUAGUUUGAUCUCUUAUUAUGUGCACAUGGUACCUACUGGGGGUGGUGUGAUCGCUUCAUAGAGAAGAUGACAAUCGAGGAGUGUCAACAUAGGAGAUUGGGGCUCUUGCAACUAUUGGAGGAAGAUGAUGUCCAUGCGCCGACCCUUGAGGAAGAUGAUGUUGAAGGUGGGAUCUAACAUAUGCCGCGUGCUGAACUUGAUUUGAUGCUAUCUCACACGGUUGGUUUUCUCGCGCUGCCACCAUUGCUAACCUGAUUGCAAAAGCUCACAAAACAGAACCUUGCCUUCUCAUGAUCUCACCUUGCCCCGAUCGUUCAAGAUAGCAAACGCCGCCAGCCUGGUACAACAAAUCUGUCUAAAGUUAGACUUUGUUCCCAUGGUGUUGUGGCAUCAAAAAUUCAGAUGAUCUAUAUCUUUCUUAACCCCAUAGUUGUGAUCCUUUAAUUGUAGUUACAUGUGUUUCUAGAGGCAUCCUUCCAUUGUGUAUAAUUGGAAUAGUUAUUGUGUUCAUAGUUCUUUUGGCCAAUGGCAGCUAUGUAUAGAGAUUUUCUCAAAAGAAAUAAAAAUCCAUAUGCUAAGAGCUGGAUCUCAACUGGCUGGUCUUGCACAUACAUAUGACAUGGUAUUUUUGGGCAGUGUCAGCCAUGUACAGAGCCGGAUCAAACCAACCCAUGAAGCUAAUUGAUUGGACACACAUGUGCGGCAAGCAGGUGGAUUGUUCUUUUAACAUUGGUUGCAAAAGCACGUACCUAGGAAUUGACAGAACCAAUCUGUAGAUAGCCAUGGCGACGGCUCCGUUGAAGCGAUUGUGGGAUGUGGAGGUGGUUGAUGGCUACCGGUGAAAUUCUUUCCAAGCCAAGGUGGCCGGCGGCUGCUGUGGCUUCCGAUCCAAACAUGGAGCGCUUGGAUUUUUUUAGGGAUGGAGCUCUUGGAUUGGACAUAACAUGUACGCAGAGGGAAUAUUAGGUUGCACGCUAUAUUCCGUGGCAUUGGUGGGUAAUUUCUUCAGCUUUAAGAUUAAUGGAUGGUUGUGGUUUUCUGAUCUAAUAAAAUAAUGGACAGAUGUUCCUAAUUAUUGUGGGGUUUAAUCGAUGGUUGUGGUUUUCUGAUCUAAUAUAAUAACGGACGGAUGUUCCUAAU